UUCUAACGAGAAGCGUAACGAGCUUGCGGACAGUCUCAGGCGGGCAGUUUGACUGGGGCGGUCGCCUCCGAAAGAGUAACGGAGGCGCCCAAAGGUUCCCUCAGCGCGGACGGAAACCGCGCGAAGAGUGCAAAGGCAGAAGGGAGCUUGACUGCGAGACGGACAGGUCGAGCAGGGACGAAAGUCGGGCUUAGUGAUCCGGUGGUAGAGAGUGGAAUUGCCAUCGCUCAACGGAUAAAAGCUACCCUGGGGAUAACAGGCUUAUCUCUCCCAAGAGUCCAUAUCGACGGGGAGGUUUGGCACCUCGAUGUCGGCUCAUCACAUCCUGGGGCUGAAGUAGGUCCCAAGGGUUGGGCUGUUCGCCCAUUAAAGUGGUACGCGAGCUGGGUUCAGAACGUCGUGAGACAGUUCGGUCCCUAUCCAUCGCGGGCGUAAGAAACUUGAAAGGGGCUGCUCCUAGUACGAGAGGACCGGAGUGGACCGACCAAUGGUGUACCAGUCAUGGCGCCAGCCGUGCAGCUGGGUAGCUACGUCGGGGACGGAUAAACGCUGAAAGCAUCUAAGCGUGAAACCAGCCUA
This 579-nucleotide ribosomal RNA is filed under the name Megasphaera elsdenii. RNAcentral's name for it is "bacterial LSU rRNA". It matches the Rfam family "Bacterial large subunit ribosomal RNA", at positions 2220 to 2800 of the family's 2925-position model. The record is from RNAcentral. Lineage: Bacteria; Bacillati; Bacillota; Negativicutes; Veillonellales; Veillonellaceae.